GUGGGGAAUAUUGCACAAUGGGGGAAACCCUGAUGCAGCGACGCCGCGUGAGUGAAGAAGUAUUUCGGUACGUAAAGCUCUAUCAGCAAGGAAGAAAAUGACGGUACUUGACUAAGAAGCCCCGGCUAACUACGUGCCAGCAGCCGCGGUAAUACGUAGGGGGCAAGCGUUAUCCGGAUUUACUGGGUGUAAAGGGAGCGUAGACGGUAUGGUAAGUCAGAUGUGAAAGCCCGGGGCUCAACCCCGGGACUGCAUUUGAAACUAUCAGACUAGAGUGCAGGAGAGGUAAGUGGAAUUCCUAGUGUAGCGGUGAAAUGCGUAGAUAUUAGGAGGAACACCAGUGGCGAAGGCGGCUUACUGGACAAUAACUGACGUUGAGGCUCGAAAGCGUGGGAAGCAAACAGGAUUAGAAACCCGAGUAGUCC
This 425-nucleotide ribosomal RNA is filed under the name uncultured bacterium. Its description in RNAcentral is "partial 16S ribosomal RNA". It matches the Rfam family "Bacterial small subunit ribosomal RNA", at positions 354 to 796 of the family's 1533-position model. The record is from RNAcentral.